UAACUGCGAGUGAAGCGGCAAAAGCUCAAAUUUGAAAUCUGACGUCACCUGGCGUUCGAAUUGUAAUUUGGAGGGGCAUUUUCGGAGCUGGCGUUGUCCUAAGUUCCUUGGAACAGGACGUCACAGAGGGUGAGAAUCCCGUGCCUGGAUGGCUGUCCAGCUCCAUGUGAGGUGUCUCCGACGAGUCGAGUUGUUUGGGAAUGCAGCUCAAAAUGGGUGGUAAAUUUCAUCUAAAGCUAAAUACUGGCGAGAGACCGAUAGCGCACAAGUAGAGUGAUCGAAAGAUGAAAAGCACUUUGAAAAGAGAGUUAAAAAGUACGUGAAAUUGUUGAAAGGGAAGCGCUUGAGACCAGACUCAACCUUCGGUGAUCAGCUGUGCUUUUGUGCAGUGCACUUGCCGUGGGUUGGGCCAGCAUCGGUUUCGACGGUGGGAUAAAGGUUCGAGGAAUGUGGCUCCCCGAUUUCGGGGAGUGUUAUAGCCCUGAGCGCAAUGCCACCUGUUGGGACCGAGGACCGCGCUUCCGCUAGGAUGCUGGC
This 537-nucleotide ribosomal RNA is filed under the name Otidea alutacea. Its description in RNAcentral is "LSU rRNA". It matches the Rfam family "Eukaryotic large subunit ribosomal RNA", at positions 84 to 630 of the family's 3401-position model. Lineage: Eukaryota; Fungi; Ascomycota; Pezizomycetes; Pezizales; Pyronemataceae. The record is from RNAcentral.